This 660-nucleotide ribosomal RNA is filed under the name Triticum aestivum (bread wheat). RNAcentral's name for it is "partial small subunit ribosomal RNA". Lineage: Eukaryota; Viridiplantae; Streptophyta; Magnoliopsida; Poales; Poaceae. The record is from RNAcentral.
AUGGCUUACGUGACACCGAGGGAAGGUGCACCUUGGUGGAUUUCGAUUGUAUAUGGGCCACAAGAGGAUCACGAGAAGAUCCAAUUCAUGGAGGAACUAACCGCGAGGCGCUUGCUCUUCCUCGGGCCGUGGUUAGCGAUUGGAGACUUCAAUCUCAUUUUGAACGCGGCAGACAAGAGUAAUGCCAAUCUUGACAGGAGAAUGAUGGGGAGAUUUAGGCGGUUUGUGGACUCCAAUGGUCUUAAGGAGCUCUUUUUGCAUGGUCGCGCUUUCACGUGGAGCAAUGAGAGGGAUAACCCCACUCUCACUAAGAUUGAUAGGGCAUUCGUCUCGGUCGAUUGGGAGCUCGACCACCCAGAUGGUAUGCUGCAAGCCCUUUCCACGGCCAUUUCAGACCAUUGUCCGCUUCACCUUGCUAUGGAGGAUCACUUACAGCCUCAUAGGCGGUUUUGCUUCAAAUCUUUUUGGACCAAACUUGACGGCUUUGACGAGGCGGUGGAAGAAGCUUGGAAUUGUGACCCCAGCAUCACGGACCCCUUCCUCAGAUUGGACUUGCUUCUUCGUAAAGCAGCGCACGACCUUACGGCUUGGGGACUGAGAAAGAUUGGUAAUGUUAAGCUUCAGAUUGCGAUGGCAAAACUAGAUUAUUCUGCAGCUUGA